AGAACGAACGUUAGCGGCGCGCUUAACACAUGCAAGUCGAGCGAGAAAGGGGCAACCCCGGUAAAGCGGCGCACGGGUGAGUAACACGUAGGUAAUCUACCCCCAGGUGGUGGAUAACUUUCCGAAAGGAAAGCUAAUACAGCAUGGGACCACGGCUCCGCAAGGAGUUGAGGUGAAAGUCGGCCUCUUCACGAAAGCCGACGCCAGGGGAUGAGUCUGCGGCCCAUCAGCUAGUUGGUAGGUAAUGGCCUACCAAGGCGAAGACGGGUAGCUGGUCUGAGAGGAUGAUCAGCCACACUGGAACUGAGACACGGUCCAGACUCCUACGGGAGGCAGCAGUGGGGAAUCUUGCGCAAGUGGGACGAAAGCCUGACGCGAGCGACGCCGCGUGAGUGAUGAACGGCCCUGGGUAGUAACG
Molecule: ribosomal RNA, 418 nt
Filed under: uncultured soil bacterium
Lineage: Bacteria
Description: bacterial SSU rRNA
Rfam family: Bacterial small subunit ribosomal RNA
Source: RNAcentral